UGUGCCUACCCGUGUGGACAAAAUAAGGCUAUUUACCAAGCCUUUUUGUUACCCUUACUUAUAUAACCUGUACAAAAAUCACUCUAUACUAACAUAAGGACACAUCAUAUAGCCAAAAUAACCACAACGGACAACAUUUCAUUUAUGAAAUUUACUCUGCUAGCUUGGCAGCAUUAUAAGGAAAGAAAAGAAAAGAGGGUAAGCGUGGGAGCUUAGUAAGUGCAUAUAUGUAAAUAAAGUGUAAUUAUAAGAAAAUCAUAUUCAUCCAACGGUAUCUUGUCAUGCUUAAAAGAUAUAAAUCACUUAACGUCUCUAUCUUACUCUUCUUUUCAUUCAUGUAUACUUAAUACACCUAGUCUUUUACUCAGGUCCUAACCAUGAGUUCAGUAUACAUACCUCAUCAAAGUAUUCACCAACUAAAUCUUCGGGUUACCCGCUGAACUCUCGAAAUACAUAAAGAUACGCGAGGAAUUUGUGUCUAAAUGUCGUAUAAGAAAUCAAGGCUACCUCGUGCUAUGAAACACUCACAUUUCAGCUACUCACAGGCAUUUUUAUCAAGUCAGGAUCCAGGCCCCGUAGCUAUCAUGUAACGUAUGCUCAUUGAACCACUCAUGGGUCUAUACACAAAGUUAGUACCCGGACCCAUGUUACCUAUAGCAUUUAUCUCAUGAACUCAGACUUAACUCAUGAGUUCAGACCACAUAAUUUUCAUAACAUGCCACUUUGUAUCCUAUACUAUGUCUAAGGUUCAACGAGACUUCAUAUCUAAUCGAAUAGCAUCGCAUUUACUCACAUUGUAAUUUACUCACAUAACAUGUCAUUUAAACAUUCAUGGAAAGAAUUACAAUUUAGAUACAUAACAACAAUAAGCUAAUUACACGUGUAUAUUAUUAAAAUAUACCAAAGUAAGCUUCAAUAACACAUUAUUUACAUAUGUACUUAUCUAAAUACAAAAUGAUGAAUACGAGCUUAAUCCCCGUAAACUUUAUUCUUACCCUGAUCAAGACCCGAAUCACGUUUCUCUUGAUCUAAAUUAAUAAAAUUCAUUUAUUUCAUCAGUAUAUCAAUUUAAAUGCCCGAAAGUUCAUAAUUGGGCAAAAUGACUAUUUUUCCCCAACUCUUUCACAAAAUGACCAUUUUACCCCUAUGCUCAAAAAUUAAUUUUUUAUUGAAUUUAUUUAUAUUAUUAGCCUAACCGAACCCUUUUUACUCUUAUAGUAAUCCAAAAUUUCCACUAUUUCACAUAUUUAUUAUCUAUUUUACAACUCAUGCAAAAUAGUCCCUAUUAGGGUUUUCAUGAGAAAUCCAUUCACAAAAGUUGUUUAUUACUCAC
This 1333-nucleotide long non-coding RNA is filed under the name Gossypium barbadense (sea-island cotton). Its description in RNAcentral is "long non-coding RNA (GBAR_LNC005176)". Lineage: Eukaryota; Viridiplantae; Streptophyta; Magnoliopsida; Malvales; Malvaceae. The record is from RNAcentral.